Molecule: transfer RNA, 57 nt
Filed under: Heterakis gallinarum
Lineage: Eukaryota; Metazoa; Nematoda; Chromadorea; Rhabditida; Heterakidae
Description: tRNA-Lys
Source: RNAcentral
GAGAGUGCUAACUUAUAUUGAAAGUGUUAGAUUUUUAAUCUGAAAAAGGGUUUUCCG